This 859-nucleotide ribosomal RNA is filed under the name uncultured bacterium. RNAcentral's name for it is "bacterial SSU rRNA". It matches the Rfam family "Bacterial small subunit ribosomal RNA", at positions 1 to 858 of the family's 1533-position model. The record is from RNAcentral.
AGAGUUUUAUUUUGGGUCCAGGAUGAAAGGUUAGGGCCAGGUUUUACACAUGCAAGUUGAGGGGCAGCCAGUUCCCACCAAUGGAUGAUGGCGACCGGCGGGAAGGGGUGCGUAACGCGUGAGCAACAUGCCCUAUCCAGGGAGAUCCACCAGGGGAAACUGGUUUAAUAUCCCAUAGCAUUCAUUGAAGGCAUCUUUAAUGAAUUAAAAGCUUCGGUGGUAUAGGAUUUGGCUCGCGUGACAUUAGCCAGAUGGUGAGGUAACGGCUCACCAUAGCAAUGAUGUCUAGGGGUUUUGAGAGGAAGGCCCCCCACACUGGGACUGAGACACGGCCCAGACUCCUACGGGAGGCAGCAGUGAGGAAUAUUGGACAAUGGAUGGAAAUCUGAUCCAGCCAUGCCGCGUGCAGGAAGACGGCCUUAUGGGUUGUAAACUGCUUUUAUACGGGAGCAAUAAGGGUUACGAGUAAUCCGAUGAGAGUACUGUAUGAAUAAGGAUCGGCUAACUCCGUGCCAGCAGCCGCGGUAAUACGGAGGAUCCGAGCGUUAUCCGGAAUUAUUGGGUUUAAAGGGUGCGUAGGCGGCCAUUUAAGUCAGCGGUGAAAUUUUGCAGCUUAACUGUAACAGUGCCGUUGAUACUGUUUGGCUAGGAUUUGGUUGUAGUGUGCGGAAUGUGUGGUGUAGCGGUGAAAUGCUUAGAUAUUACACAGAACACCGAUUGCGAAGGCAGCACACUAAGUCAUUAUUGACGCUGAGGCACGAAAGUGUGGGGAUCAAACAGGAUUAGAUACCCUGGUAGUCCACACUGUAAACGAUGAUAACUCGCUGUCGGCGAUACACAGUCGGUGCCAAGCGAAAGC